UACGGAGGGAGCUAGCGUUGUUCGGAAUUACUGGGCGUAAAGCGCACGUAGGCGGCUUUGUAAGUUAGAGGUGAAAGCCCGGGGCUCAACUCCGGAACUGCCUUUAAGACUGCAUCGCUUGAAUCCAGGAGAGGUGAGUGGAAUUCCGAGUGUAGAGGUGAAAUUCGUAGAUAUUCGGAAGAACACCAGUGGCGAAGGCGGCUCACUGGACUGGUAUUGACGCUGAGGCGGCGAAAGCGUGGGGAGCAAACAGG
This 254-nucleotide ribosomal RNA is filed under the name uncultured bacterium. RNAcentral's name for it is "partial 16S ribosomal RNA". It matches the Rfam family "Bacterial small subunit ribosomal RNA", at positions 524 to 776 of the family's 1533-position model. The record is from RNAcentral.